Molecule: ribosomal RNA, 115 nt
Filed under: Francisellaceae bacterium
Lineage: Bacteria; Pseudomonadati; Pseudomonadota; Gammaproteobacteria; Thiotrichales; Francisellaceae
Source: RNAcentral
CUUGGCGAAAAUAGCAUUUGUGACCCACCUGAUUCCAUUCCGAACUCAGAAGUGAAACCAAAUCGCGCCGAUGAUAGUAUGGGAGUUCCCAUGUGAAAGUAGGUCAUUGCCAGGC